GUUUUGGACGGUUCAGUGGCUGAAUUCUCGCCUUCUAUGCAGAAGACCCAGGUUUGAUUCCUGGUCAAAGCA
RNAcentral lists this transfer RNA (72 nucleotides) under Loxodonta africana (African savanna elephant). It matches the Rfam family "tRNA". Rfam says of the family: Transfer RNA (tRNA) molecules are approximately 80 nucleotides in length. The record is from Rfam by way of RNAcentral. Lineage: Eukaryota; Metazoa; Chordata; Mammalia; Proboscidea; Elephantidae.